CAAGAGCGUAUGUAAAAGUUGUUGCAGUUAAAAAGCUCGUAGUUGAACCUUGGGUUUGGUUGGCCGGUCCGCUUUUUUGCGAGUACUGGAUUCAACCGAACCUUUCCUUCUGGCUAACCAGUCGUUUCGGCGGCUGGCGAACCAGGAUUUUUACUUUGAGAAAAUUAGAGUGUUCAAAGCAGGCAUUAGCUUGAAUAUAUUAGCAUGGAAUAAUAGAAUAGGACGUUAUGGUUCUAUUUUGUUGGUUUCUAGGACCAUCGUAAUGAUUAAUAGGGACGGUCGGGGGCAUCAGUAUUCAGUUGUCAGAGGUGAAAUUCUUGGAUUUACUGAAGACUAACUACUGCGAAAGCAUUUGCCAAGGACGUUUUCAUUAA
Molecule: ribosomal RNA, 374 nt
Filed under: uncultured eukaryote
Lineage: Eukaryota
Description: partial 18S ribosomal RNA
Rfam family: Eukaryotic small subunit ribosomal RNA
Source: RNAcentral